GUUGAACGCUGGCGGCAGGCUUAACACAUGCAAGUCGAGCGGGGUGAUGGUGCUUGCACUAUCACUUAGCGGCGGACGGGUGAGUAACGCUUAGGAAUCUGCCUAUUAGUGGGGGACAACAUCUCGAAAGGGAUGCUAAUACCGCAUACGUCCUACGGGAGAAAGCAGGGGAUCACUUGUGACCUUGCGCUAAUAGAUGAGCCUAAGUCGGAUUAGCUAGUUGGUGGGGUAAAGGCCUACCAAGGCGAGGAUCUGUAGCGGGUCUGGGAGGAUGUUCCGCCACACGGGGACUGAGAAGCGGCCCAGACUCCUACGGGAGGCAGCAGUGGGGAAUAUUGGACAAUGGGGGGAACCCUGAUCCAGGCAUGCCGCGUGUGUGAAGAAGGCCUUAUGGUUGUAAAGCACUUUAAGCGAGGAGGAGGCUCUUUUGGUUAAUACCCAAGAUGAGUGGACGUUACUCGCAGAAUAAGCACCGGCUAACUCUGUGCCAGCCGCCGCGGUAA
RNAcentral lists this ribosomal RNA (503 nucleotides) under uncultured bacterium. RNAcentral's name for it is "partial 16S ribosomal RNA". It matches the Rfam family "Bacterial small subunit ribosomal RNA", at positions 28 to 523 of the family's 1533-position model. The record is from RNAcentral.